RNAcentral lists this ribosomal RNA (468 nucleotides) under Sanguirana luzonensis (Luzon frog). Its description in RNAcentral is "partial 12S ribosomal RNA". It matches the Rfam family "Bacterial small subunit ribosomal RNA", at positions 867 to 1533 of the family's 1533-position model. Lineage: Eukaryota; Metazoa; Chordata; Amphibia; Anura; Ranidae. The record is from RNAcentral.
AACAGCCAUGGGUACAUAUACGAGCAAUGCUUAAAACCCAAAGGAUUUGACGGUAUCCCAUCCACCUAGAGGAGCCUGUUCUAUAAUCGAUAACCCCCGCUAUACCCAACCACUCCUAGCUUAUCAGCCUGUAUACCUCCGUCGAAAGCCUACCAUGUGAAUGUUCUUAGUAAGCUUAAUGUCCCCGUCAAAACGUCAGGUCAAGGUGCAGCUCAUGGAAUGGAAAGCAAUGGGCUACAAUUUCUAACUUAGAACAUACGAAAAACCAGGUGAAACCCUGGUCAUGAAGGCGGAUUUAGCAGUAAAAAGAAAAUAGAGUGUUCUUUUUAACCCGGCCCUGGGAUGUGUACACACCGCCCGUCACCCUCUUCAACUGUAAUUAACACUGUUUUAUAACUCUCCCCCCACAUUCUAGAAGAGGCAAGUCGUAACAUGGUAAGUGUACUGGAAAGUGCACUUGGCUAACAA